RNAcentral lists this ribosomal RNA (414 nucleotides) under uncultured microorganism. Its description in RNAcentral is "bacterial SSU rRNA". It matches the Rfam family "Bacterial small subunit ribosomal RNA", at positions 9 to 419 of the family's 1533-position model. The record is from RNAcentral.
GAGUUUGAUCAUGGCUCAGAUUGAACGCUGGCGGCAUGCCUUACACAUGCAAGUCGAACGGCAGCAUGAUCUAGCUUGCUAGAUUGAUGGCGAGUGGCGAACGGGUGAGUAAUACAUCGGAACGUGCCCUGUAGUGGGGGAUAACUAGUCGAAAGAUUAGCUAAUACCGCAUACGACCUGAGGGCGAAAGUGGGGGACCGCAAGGCCUCAUGCUAUAGGAGCGGCCGAUGUCUGAUUAGCUAGUUGGUGGGGUAAAGGCCCACCAAGGCGACGAUCAGUAGCUGGUCUGAGAGGACGAUCAGCCACACUGGGACUGAGACACGGCCCAGACUCCUACGGGAGGCAGCAGUGGGGAAUUUUGGACAAUGGGCGAAAGCCUGAUCCAGCAAUGCCGCGUGUGUGAAGAAGGCCUGG